GCGUCCGUAGCUCAGCUGGAUAGAGUACCUGGCUACGAACCAGGCGGUCAGAGGUUCGAAUCCUCUCGAGCGCG
Molecule: transfer RNA, 74 nt
Filed under: Vibrio cholerae
Lineage: Bacteria; Pseudomonadati; Pseudomonadota; Gammaproteobacteria; Vibrionales; Vibrionaceae
Description: tRNA-Arg-ACG
Rfam family: tRNA
About the family: Transfer RNA (tRNA) molecules are approximately 80 nucleotides in length. Their secondary structure includes four short double-helical elements and three loops (D, anti-codon, and T loops).
Source: RNAcentral